Molecule: ribosomal RNA, 1155 nt
Filed under: Enterococcus faecalis
Lineage: Bacteria; Bacillati; Bacillota; Bacilli; Lactobacillales; Enterococcaceae
Description: partial 23S ribosomal RNA
Rfam family: Bacterial large subunit ribosomal RNA
Source: RNAcentral
CGUAGACGAAAUGCUGACAACACCUAGGAGGAUCCUGAGUACGGCGGAACACGAGAAAUUCCGUCGGAAUCCGCGGGGACCAUCCCGCAAGGCUAAAUACUCCCUAGUGACCGAUAGUGAACCAGUACCGUGAGGGAAAGGUGAAAAGCACCCCGGAAGGGGAGUGAAAUAGAUCCUGAAACCGUGUGCCUACAACAAGUCAAAGCUCGUUAAUGAGUGAUGGCGUGCCUUUUGUAGAAUGAACCGGCGAGUUACGAUUGCAUGCGAGGUUAAGUCGAAGAGACGGAGCCGCAGCGAAAGCGAGUCUGAAUAGGGCGAAUGAGUAUGUAGUCGUAGACCCGAAACCAUGUGAUCUACCCAUGUCCAGGUUGAAGGUGCGGUAAAACGCACUGGAGGACCGAACCCACGUACGUUGAAAAGUGCGGGGAUGAGGUGUGGGUAGCGGAGAAAUUCCAAACGAACUUGGAGAUAGCUGGUUCUCUCCGAAAUAGCUUUAGGGCUAGCCUCGGAAUUGAGAAUGAUGGAGGUAGAGCACUGUUUGGACUAGGGGCCCAUCUCGGGUUACCGAAUUCAGAUAAACUCCGAAUGCCAUUCAUUUAUAUCCGGGAGUCAGACUGCGAGUGAUAAGAUCCGUAGUCGAAAGGGAAACAGCCCAGACCACCAGCUAAGGUCCCAAAAUAUAUGUUAAGUGGAAAAGGAUGUGGGGUUGCACAGACAACUAGGAUGUUGGCUUAGAAGCAGCCACCAUUUAAAGAGUGCGUAAUAGCUCACUAGUCGAGUGACCCUGCGCCGAAAAUGUACCGGGGCUAAACAUAUUACCGAAGCUGUGGACUACACCAUUAGGUGUAGUGGUAGGAGAGCGUUCUAAGGGCGUUGAAGGUCGAUCGUGAGGACGGCUGGAGCGCUUAGAAGUGAGAAUGCCGGUAUGAGUAGCGAAAGACAGGUGAGAAUCCUGUCCACCGUAUGACUAAGGUUUCCUGGGGAAGGCUCGUCCGCCCAGGGUUAGUCGGGACCUAAGCCGAGGCCGAUAGGCGUAGGCGAUGGACAACAGGUUGAUAUUCCUGUACCAGUUGUUUUUGUUUGAGCAAUGGAGGGACGCAGUAGGCUAAGGAAUGCAUGCGAUUGGAAGUGCAUGUCCAAGCAAUGAGUCUUGAG